AUGUGUCCUGCCGGGCGGGCGGCGUGCCGUGUCCGCGCUCCCGAAACUGCCCCUCCCCCUCUCUCACACCUCGAAAGCAAAAGGGCGGAGCGGGGGCCCCCGGGGACGAGCAAAUUAUUUUUGUUGCGAGGGCGCGUCUCCUUCCUCCUCUCCGUGCGAGGCAGCGGCGACGGCGAGCGGACCGGAACAGCACAUCGCCGGCUCUACAUCAAUGGCGUCCACCUCCCUCCUCGGCUGCGCAGUUCUCGCUCUUCUCUGACGAGCGCGGGAGCUUCCUCUGACCCGAGCAACGACACCGUGCGGGAGCUUCCUCUGUCCAGUGACCAGUUCCUGGCUUCGCCGGCGAUGGAGGCCUACUCGAGGGACCUGCUGCGCGGCGUCGGCGGGGGAGGCGAGGCCGGUCGCGGCGAGGAGAAGCCGGGGCGCCUGGAUUCGCAGACCGAGGAGGUCGAGCUUAGCCUCGGCCUGUCGCUCGGGGGCCGAUUCGGGCAGGAGAGGAGGAGGGGCGAGGGGCUCGCCAGGUCCUCCUCCGUCGCCUGCAUCCAGCAGGUGGCGCUGGCGCCGCCCGCGCUCCCCAGGACACACUCCCUGCCGCCUAUGGCGGAGGCGGAGGCGGGGAACACCACCGCUUCCCCUAGGAGCGGCGCUGAGGUCCAGCCGCAGGGGAGUGGUGCCCCUCUGAACGGCGCCGUGGUGGAGCCCGCAGCUUUGCCACGGGCGAGCUUGAGCCCCCCGUCCACAGGCUCGUCGGACGGCGAAGGGAAGCUGCGGGCGAGCUUGAGCCCCCCGUCCACAGGCUCGUCGGCCGGCGACGGUAUCCUCACGAGGACAAGUUCACUCCCUGCUGGCAUCGAGGAUGGGUGGAGGAAGAGGAAGCUAGCAGAAACUCUGAACAAACUCGAGAUGAAGAGGAGGAUUGAGAGGAUGAACUCUUCCAACGUUUCUGUAGGGGAAGUUGGAGAGAACGCAGAUGAGAUGAGUGAGCAGGCAGGAGGAAAGCAAAAAGCACAGAGAAUGAACCAUAGCAAUGUGAGGCGUCGCUUGAGUGGGCUUCCUCCACCGUAUCAGCCUCCAGCUGCAUCACAAGGUCCGAAAAGGAAUUCCGCUUUGAAAGGAACUCCUGGCGCUCUAGAGCGGAGCCUGUCAUCGGCUGUUCUGCCCUCGUCUGAGGGUGCAAACAGCGGCGCCGUGACAACCCCUUCAUCUUCAGCAUUGGCGGUGAGAGCAGCAGCCCCUGGCAUCUCCACAGGGGAGCAGCGGGAUGGUUCAGAAAGGCCGGCGGCGAGAGCUACUAGGACCAGGAGCGUGGCAGACAUGGUGCGGAAGAUGCCAGUGGUGUACACCAGCGGGCUCCCCAACGGCGAGAGGAUCGACGGCUUCCUGUACCAGUACAGCAGAGCUGAGGAGGUGAGGAUUGUGUGUGUGUGCCAUGGUAGCUUCCUGACUCCGGCGGAGUUUGUGGCGCAUGCCGGAGGCGGCGAAGUCGCCCACCCGAUGAGGCACAUCGUCGUCAACCCCCCGUCGUCUUCGCUCUAG
This 1536-nucleotide ribosomal RNA is filed under the name Triticum aestivum (bread wheat). Its description in RNAcentral is "partial small subunit ribosomal RNA". The record is from RNAcentral. Lineage: Eukaryota; Viridiplantae; Streptophyta; Magnoliopsida; Poales; Poaceae.